UUGUAAGUGUUUAAGGGCGCAUGGUGGAUGCCUUGGCACUGGGAGCCGAU
RNAcentral lists this ribosomal RNA (50 nucleotides) under Mycolicibacterium brumae. RNAcentral describes it as "Mycobacterium brumae partial 23S ribosomal RNA". Lineage: Bacteria; Bacillati; Actinomycetota; Actinomycetes; Mycobacteriales; Mycobacteriaceae. The record is from RNAcentral.